This 401-nucleotide ribosomal RNA is filed under the name uncultured Bacillota bacterium. RNAcentral's name for it is "bacterial SSU rRNA". It matches the Rfam family "Bacterial small subunit ribosomal RNA", at positions 381 to 774 of the family's 1533-position model. The record is from RNAcentral. Lineage: Bacteria; Bacillati; Bacillota.
GUCUGAUGGAGCAACGCCGCGUGAGUGAAGAAGGUUUUCGGAUCGUAAAGCUCUGUUGUUGGGGAAGAAGGAUAGAGGUAGUAACUGGCCUUUAUUUGACGGUAAUCAACCAGAAAGUCACGGCUAACUACGUGCCAGCAGCCGCGGUAAUACGUAGGGGGCAAGCGUUAUCCGGAUUUACUGGGUGUAAAGGGAGCGUAGACGGCAAGGCAAGUCGGAUGUGAAAACCCAGGGCUUAACCCUGGGACUGCAUUGGAAACUGUCUGGCUCGAGUGCCGGAGAGGUAAGCGGAAUUCCUAGUGUAGCGGUGAAAUGCGUAGAUAUUAGGAGGAACACCAGUGGCGAAAGCGGCUUUCUGGACGACAACUGACGCUGAGGCGCGAAAGCCAGGGGAGCAAACG